Molecule: ribosomal RNA, 468 nt
Filed under: uncultured bacterium
Lineage: Bacteria
Description: partial 16S ribosomal RNA
Rfam family: Bacterial small subunit ribosomal RNA
Source: RNAcentral
GACGAGCGCUGGCGGCGUGCUUAACACAUGCAAGUCGAACGGAAAGGCCCUGCUUUUGUGGGGUGCUCGAGUGGCGAACGGGUGAGUAAAACGUGAGUAACCUGCCCUUGACUUUGGGAUAAAUUCAGGAAACUGGGGCUAAUACCGGAUAGGAGCUCCUGCUGCAUGGUGGGGGUUGGAAAGUUUCGGCGGUUGGGGAUGGACUCGCGGCUUAUCAGCUUGUUGGUGGGGUAGUGGCUUACCAAGGCUUUGACGGGUAGCCGGCCUGAGAGGGUGAACGGCGACAUUGGGACUGAGAUACGGCCCAGACGCCUACGGGAGGCAGCAGUGGGGAAUAUUGCACAAUGGGCGGGAGCCUGAUGCAGCGACGCCGGGUGCGGGAUACCGGGCUUCGGGUUGUAAACCAAUUUCGCCUGUGACGAAGAGUGAGUGACGGUAAUGGGUAAAGAAGCACCGGCUAACUACGUG